RNAcentral lists this unclassified non-coding RNA (243 nucleotides) under plant metagenome. Its description in RNAcentral is "partial contains small subunit ribosomal RNA, internal transcribed spacer 1, and 5.8S ribosomal RNA". The stretch from base 1 to 54 matches the Rfam family "Eukaryotic small subunit ribosomal RNA", at positions 1778 to 1831 of the family's 1831-position model. The record is from RNAcentral.
GGUAGUAAAAGUCGUAACAAGGUUUCCGUAGGUGAACCUGCGGAAGGAUCAUUACAGAGUUCAUGCCCUCACGGGUAGAUCUCCCACCCUUGAAUAUUUAUACCUUAGUUGCUUUGGCAGGCCGUGGAAACACCAUGGGCUCCGGCUUGUGCGUGCCUGCCAGAGGAAACAAACUCUGUUUUUUAGUGAUGUCUGAGUACUAUAUAAUAGUUAAAACUUUCAACAACGGAUCUCUUGGUUCUG